CUAUAAUUACAGUGCACUCAGCUUCACAGUUGGUUUUGACCUAGAAAGGGUGUGUUCCUGGGGUUAUUUUAACAAUCUGUUGGCAGUGCUCACAGGCACUACCAGGCCUCACAAGGAAAACAUCUGAAAUUCGACAGGCACUUGACAGUCUUGUUAGUGGCUGCCAGUGUUAAAUGUGUCUGGAUAUUUCUGAGCAUUCUGUGCUGCUUUCACCAGUUAUUUCUGGACAUAUGAAUGCUGAAAAAUUGCUUCUGCAAGACCAGAAUUGCUUUUCACCUAUUAAGAAGCAAGAAUUGGUCUCACGAACUAUAAAGACAAUAUUAAAUUGGACUUUUCUUUGCUAUGCAGCAAAGGAGAAUUUUCCAUUCAAAAAAAGUGUGGAGGAUAGGCCAAUGUUUCUAAAUCACACAUAAUUAAGUAAAAUGGCCUGCAAAAUUGUGAGUUUUAUAUGACUUUUACUUGGAAUUUUAUACCUUCAGGGGGCAGAAAGGGGUGCAGAAAAGCAGCACUGGUAUAAACAUGACUGAGAAUAGCCUGUAGCAUAAUAGAUAGACCACACUAUUGUUGCAUAAAACAAAAUUUUCAGCAAAAUACCCCUGCUCUGCAAGAAAUUCUGUUCCUAUCAGGGGAGGAUAGUGGAAGAGCUCAGAAAAGUGGCUGACAAAGAUGUAACAGGUGGAUUUUUCUCAACAGAGGGUUAACUUCACUCUUUCCUGUGCAAACCUGAGCUCUGAAUUGCUCUGAAGUUCUGCUGUCACUUGUGCCUCGCUGUUCUGAUCAUUUAACCCAAAGGCCUGCAAGGCACCCCCGGCCAAGGCACGAAGAAACAUCCCUCCCCUCUGGAUGACGAAGGUGUCCUGGCAGAUUGGCAGAGCACCGCUUGUGGCAGGUGAUAUGUGUGUUAACAAUGGAUUACAAAGCCAAGGCACUGUGCUUUCUUACACAGAGAAAUUGCAAGAAAACGAUCAGUCAGGUCUGCUGAGGGAAUCUGAAAGAGAUGAAACCCAAGUACCUUCAAAAACUCCUUUUCUUUAGGCUCUGCAUGCAAGUGCACAUUGUACGGCCUCCAUGGAUAAACGAUGCUGGUUAAAAGCAAGGAAAGAAGAUCCUUCUAAAGUGACAUUAUUACAGAUGGCCACUGUGGGAAAGGGAUUCAUUUGCCAUCCCUUAUAAAUACAGUGGCUACACUUUACACAUCACAAGGCUUUUCUUACAUGCCCCAAAGGGUUGUGUAAUUCUAACAAAAGCUUCUGUUGCUCUGGCCCAGGAUAGUUGGGAUUUGAAGAAGUUUUUACAAGGUCUUGUCUGGUUAAAAUACAUUUUAUUAAAAGCUCAAGUCUGCUACUGCUUGCUAUGCUGAGAGAUGUUGUGGGCAGUGAGGAGAAAGGAAAAUUAGGCAAUGGAAAUUUGAUAGGUUGACAGACUUGAUUGAAAAUAAAAAUGCAUUAGGCCUUUCUUUUAGUCCUCUC
This 1469-nucleotide long non-coding RNA is filed under the name Cyanistes caeruleus (blue tit). Its description in RNAcentral is "lncRNA (ENSCCEG00000010209.1)". Lineage: Eukaryota; Metazoa; Chordata; Aves; Passeriformes; Paridae. The record is from RNAcentral.